UCACUGCUAUCGGUGUUCGAUUAAGCCAUGCGAGUCGUGAGGGGUAAAGCCCUCGGCGGAGUGCUCGUGACACGUGGGCAACCUACCCAAAAGUCAGGGAUAACCCCGGGAACUGGGAGUAAUACCUGAUAGGCCAUGACAUCUGGAAUGAGUUGUGGUUUAAACGUAAGGCUUUUGGUAUGGGUCGCGGCGGGUUAGGUUGUUGCGGUGUAACGUACCGCAAGCCUGUAAUCCGUACGGGUUGUGGGAGCAAGAGCCCGGAGAGGAUUCUGAGCACGAGUCCAGGCCCUACGGGCGGCAGCAGGCGCGAU
This 311-nucleotide ribosomal RNA is filed under the name uncultured archaeon. Its description in RNAcentral is "bacterial SSU rRNA". It matches the Rfam family "Archaeal small subunit ribosomal RNA", at positions 24 to 345 of the family's 1478-position model. The record is from RNAcentral.